Molecule: ribosomal RNA, 465 nt
Filed under: Vreelandella stevensii
Lineage: Bacteria; Pseudomonadati; Pseudomonadota; Gammaproteobacteria; Oceanospirillales; Halomonadaceae
Description: partial 16S ribosomal RNA
Rfam family: Bacterial small subunit ribosomal RNA
Source: RNAcentral
CCUACAGGGGGCAGCAGUGGGGAAUAUUGGACAAUGGGGGGAACCCUGAUCCAGCCAUGCCGCGUGUGUGAAGAAGGCCCUCGGGUUGUAAAGCACUUUCAGUGAGGAAGAACGCCUGGUGGUUAAUACCCAUCAGGAAAGACAUCACUCACAGAAGAAGCACCGGCUAACUCCGUGCCAGCAGCCGCGGUAAUACGGAGGGUGCGAGCGUUAAUCGGAAUUACUGGGCGUAAAGCGCGCGUAGGUGGCUUGAUAAGCCGGUUGUGAAAGCCCCGGGCUCAACCUGGGAACGGCAUCCGGAACUGUCAAGCUAGAGUGCAGGAGAGGAAGGUAGAAUUCCCGGUGUAGCGGUGAAAUGCGUAGAGAUCGGGAGGAAUACCAGUGGCGAAGGCGGCCUUCUGGACUGACACUGACACUGAGGUGCGAAAGCGUGGGUAGCAAACAGGAUUAGAUACCCCAGUAGUC